CUGGAACAAAAGCUGUCAGUGCCUCUUUACACCACUUGCAGAAACACAAGAGACCACUGGGAAAUUGUCUCCCAACAGUAAGGAGGAGAGAGAGAGUCAAUUCAUGGUUUGGCCUUUUUUAAAAAGAGAAAUGGUUUUCUAAGUUUCUUGUUGGUGGAGACCCCAUAACCCUGACUUCAGAAGUAGACUUCAGAAUAGUGGUAAAACCUGAUACAUCAGUCCUGGAGUAUUGGAUGAUGCCAUUCUCAAAGAAGAAGUGGAGGAAGAAGAGGAAGAGGAGAAAAAAGAGAAGAGGAAGACGUAUAAAUAUGAAUGCCCAUUCAAAGUAAAAAGAUGCUCAAUCUUUCUAACAAGGCUCUGCAAGGUAGCAAAUCAUUGUAGCACUGAGUCACAGAGACUGUAUUCUUGAAGUCCUGGCAGAGGCAAAUUUCUCAUUAACAUUGAUCUGAGAGACAUCUGCGAUGAGCCUGUACAACGAGCCGACCUGCCGAGCUGACCCGAAGCUGAUGAGUGGUUCCGAAGGGAGGCAGGCUGGGAAUGAAGACACCACAGUGAAAUGAGCCCAUCUCUGUUUUCAGAACAUGACUUCGUAACUCCAGACUUAUAUGUUGAAUUUCUUGAGGCUUAAAUGUAUAAGCUCUUCCACUAUAUCGUCCUCUACAAUUUGAAAGUGCAUUUGGGCAGCUCCAGAACUGAGAGAUGACCCAGAGGAAACAAGUCCUGAGCUCAAGUCCUCAGCAAGCGACAGCCAC
This 752-nucleotide long non-coding RNA is filed under the name Equus caballus (horse). RNAcentral's name for it is "lncRNA (ENSECAG00000036780.3)". Lineage: Eukaryota; Metazoa; Chordata; Mammalia; Perissodactyla; Equidae. The record is from RNAcentral.